RNAcentral lists this ribosomal RNA (879 nucleotides) under Chinese Huanglongbing disease-associated phytoplasma. RNAcentral describes it as "bacterial SSU rRNA". It matches the Rfam family "Bacterial small subunit ribosomal RNA", at positions 366 to 1254 of the family's 1533-position model. The record is from RNAcentral. Lineage: Bacteria; Bacillati; Mycoplasmatota; Mollicutes; Acholeplasmatales; Acholeplasmataceae.
CGGCAAUGGAGGAAACUCUGACCGAGCAACGCCGCGUGAACGAUGAAGUAUUUCGGUACGUAAAGUUCUUUUAUUAGGGAAGAAUAAAUGAUGGAAAAAUCAUUCUGACGGUACCUAAUGAAUAAGCCCCGGCUAACUAUGUGCCAGCAGCCGCGGUAAUACAUAGGGGGCAAGCGUUAUCCGGAAUUAUUGGGCGUAAAGGGUGCGUAGGCGGUUAAAUAAGUUUAUGGUCUAAGUGCAAUGCUCAACAUUGUGAUGCUAUAAAAACUGUUUAGCUAGAGUAAGAUAGAGGCAAGUGGAAUUCCAUGUGUAGUGGUUAAAUGCGUAAAUAUAUGGAGGAACACCAGUAGCGAAGGCGGCUUGCUGGGUCUUUACUGACGCUGAGGCACGAAAGCGUGGGGAGCAAACAGGAUUAGAUACCCUGGUAGUCCACGCCGUAAGCGAUGAGUACUAAACGUUGGGUAAAACCAGUGUUGAAGUUAACACAUUAAGUACUCCGCCUGAGUAGUACGUACGCAAGUAUGAAACUUAAAGGAAUUGACGGGACUCCGCACAAGCGGUGGAUCAUGUCGUUUAAUUCGAAGGUACCCGAAAAACCUCACCAGGUCUUGACAUGCUUCUGCAAAGCCGUAGAAACACAGUGGAGGUUAUCAGUUGCACAGGUGGUGCAUGGUUGUCGUCAGCUCGUGUCGUGAGAUGUUGGGUUAAGUCCCGCAACGAGCGCAACCCUUAUUGUUAGUUACCAGCACGUAAUGGUGGGGACUUUAGCAAGACUGCCAGUGAUAAAUUGGAGGAAGGUGGGGACGACGUCAAAUCAUCAUGCCCCUUAUGACCUGGGCUACAAACGUGAUACAAUGGCUGUUACAAAGAGUAGCUGAA